UACGUAGGGGGCAAGCGUUGUUCGGAAUCACUGGGCGUAAAGGGUGCGUAGGCGGCGGAGUAAGUCGGGUGUGAAAUUUGAAGGCUCAACCUUCAACUAGCACCUGAUACUGCUUUGCUCGAGACCUGGAGAGGAGCUUGGAAUUCUCGGUGUAGCAGUGAAAUGCGUAGAUUUCGAGAAGAACGCUCGCUGCGAAAGCGAAGCUCUGGCCAGCGUCUGACGCUGAGGCACGAAGGCUAGGGGAGCAAACGGG
RNAcentral lists this ribosomal RNA (253 nucleotides) under uncultured bacterium. RNAcentral describes it as "partial 16S ribosomal RNA". It matches the Rfam family "Bacterial small subunit ribosomal RNA", at positions 524 to 776 of the family's 1533-position model. The record is from RNAcentral.